UGGAACUUGAAUAGGCUAUGCAGUAAAACAUCCUUUUUGGAACAGAUGUCUCAUUGUGGGAUUGAAUAACAACUACCCGUCAGAGCUAAUAGUGGGCUAGUCAUGAGCUAACGAAAUAAACGCGAACCCAUUCGUCAGCCAGGAGCAAAUCAGAUUGUCGAGAGAAUUAAUCGCCGUUCAACGAGCAUCAGUAAAGCAGCAAAAGAAAAUGUUCCAGAAAUUUCUACUAUUUGCCUCCAUCUUUGCGAUGAUGAUCAUCACCGCUCAAUCUUCGCCAGCUGAUGAAACGGAAAACUUAGUGCGACAGGAUCAGUUCUUUAUCUGUAGAGGAGGCUCCUCUUGCACGAGCAGUACAACAUGUUCCAUUUACAUUUUCUUCAGAACUUGUCGCAACGGCCAAUGCUGCACGCGUUAAAAUGAUCAUCCACUUCCAAACAAUACGACAUAAGGAUUUAAACAACUAAUCACCAACAUUAGUUUUGUUUUUAUUUGUUUCUUUUUACAGUUUUGUUUCAGUUCUUUUCUGCUCUUAUUAAUCUCUUACAAUGCAUUUUCAUAAAAAAUUGGGUUGAAAGCAUUAAACUUAUAAACCACA
Long non-coding RNA from Daphnia pulex (common water flea), 595 nucleotides. RefSeq lists it as uncharacterized. The record is from RefSeq and is a predicted model, not a curated record. NCBI's taxonomy places the organism in Eukaryota, Metazoa, Arthropoda, Branchiopoda, Diplostraca, Daphniidae. The transcript has 3 exons.